This 252-nucleotide ribosomal RNA is filed under the name uncultured bacterium. RNAcentral's name for it is "partial 16S ribosomal RNA". It matches the Rfam family "Bacterial small subunit ribosomal RNA", at positions 525 to 776 of the family's 1533-position model. The record is from RNAcentral.
ACGAAGGGUGCUAGCGUUGUUCGGAAUCACUGGGCGUAAAGAGCGCGUAGGCGGUUUGUCAAGUUGGGAGUGAAAUCCCGAGGCUCAACCUCGGAAUUGCUUUCAAAACUGGCUUACUAGAGUUAGGUAGAGGAUAGCGGAAUUCCCAGUGUAGAGGUGAAAUUCGUAGAUAUUGGGAGGAACAUCAGAAGCGAAGGCGGCUAUCUGGACCUUGACUGACGCUGAGGCGCGAAAGUGUGGGGAGCAAACAGG